This is a long non-coding RNA of Gadus macrocephalus (Pacific cod), 859 nucleotides long. RefSeq lists it as uncharacterized. The transcript has 3 exons. Lineage: Eukaryota; Metazoa; Chordata; Actinopteri; Gadiformes; Gadidae. The record is from RefSeq and is a predicted model, not a curated record.
AGUUAAAUGAAGGUGUUAUAAAUGAAUGCAUCAAUUAAUCUAAACACAUAGGCGUGGCCUAAAGGACAGAGCAGUUUAUAUGUUGACUGUUUCCAAUGUUUUGUUGGUCAUGCUAUAGAAUGAUUUAUUGCUUGUUUAGCGAAUACUCCAGAACAUAAGGAACUUUAAAAAUAAAAAUCGCAUACGAAAUUGCAAUCUCAAUAUUGAUCGAAAUAUCGCAAUAAGAUUGUUUCCCCAAAUCGUUCAGCCCUAAGUGACACUCAGGAAGUUCUGUAGUAGUAAAACACAAUGUGAACAUGUCAUGUUUCAGGAGUGGAAUAUACCGUUUAAAAUGUUUGUAAAAUGUUUCCUUCAUUGGAGCUGUGGAGGUUUUCCUUCUUUUGCUUUGGGCAAUGUCUGUGGAUCAAAAAAAACAAAAAGAGCAAGAACAAAACAAAUGUCAUGUUUGUUCCAGGUCCGAACAUUAUGUUGUUGAGCAUAACCACAGACUAGUUCACCUAUCUUACCCGUCCGACAUUCAGUACAAGCGCCACCAGACACAAGACAACGACCUUUGAGCAGACCGCUGUACAGAUGGCAACGACAAGUGAACCAUACGAAGAAUUAACAGAAGGGGGACAAGAUCUAAAGCGCACCUCGAUGUGAUACACGCAAAGUAAUCUUAUUUAAGAAAAUUGGAAAACUCAUAUGCUUGUAUAUAUUUAAAAAAAUACUAUUUUAGAUGUCAUUUUUCAAAACUUGAACAAGUACAUUUAAUCACACAAACCUUAUUCUAAUUUAAACUUUUACAAUGGAUGAUGUGAACGAUGUAUAUUUGAAUGUAGAAGUUGUUUCAAGUAAAGCAACCCUUAAAAAAAAA